AUGUGCAGAGCCUUCCCCUCCGCUUCCCCAGCCGGGAGAAGACCCUUUGCAAUGCCUCCAGCACCGGUGAGACGAAAUAAAAAUAAUAAUAAAAAUAUUAAAAAUUUAAAAAAAGCCUUCGUGCGCCAUCCCGGGAGGAAACCACCCGGCUCAGCGCGGCACCCAUCGGAAGCGGUACCCUCCGGCGGCCGUGCGCAGGGUGAAGGCGUUUCCCUGCGGGAAGGACAGCGUGCGGAUGCCGCCCUCCUCCCCGAGGGCUGCCCGCAGGCUGCCGGCCCCCGGCAGCUCCCCCCGGCCGCCGUCGGAGGGGCGCGGAGGGGCGCGGGCGGGGCGCAGCCCGCGGAAGGCGCCGUGCAGGCGGGGCCGCUUGGCCGGGGGGCUCCCCGCCAGGCUGCGCAGCGCGGCGCGGCACUGCUCCGACACCGAGCGCAGCAUCGGGCCCACCCCCGCCGCCCCCUCGCUGCCGGCGGCGGGAUGAGGAGGAGGAGAAGGAAGAAGAGGAGGAGGAGGAAGGGCCGCCCCGUCGGGGCACUGCGGGAGCAUCAGCUUCUGCCGGGGAGAGAAAGAGACGGCGCGGCUUCAGGGGGCUGCCCCGCUCCGCCGCCACCCUGCUCGGCCCCGACGCCCCCCCCCAGCACGGCCCCGACCCGGCUCCCCCCCCGGCCCCGCGGCGGCAGCACUCACGUCGAGGACGGCGGCCAGCUGCCGGGCCUGGCUCGCCAGCUCCUUCAGCUGCACGUUGCUCUCCCGCAGCGUCGCCAGCUCCUCCUGCCUCUGCGCCAGGGUCUCCUGCAGCUGCGGGCACAAGAUGGGGACACCCCGCUCGGGGCGCCGUGCAGCCUCCCCGUCGGGGGGACAAAGGGCAGGGAAAGCCCCCUGGGCCCUACCUGGCUGUUCUCCUCCAGAGCCUCCCCCAGCGCCCGCUGGUGCCGCUCGGCCGCGUCCUGCCAGCACGGCUCGGGGGGCUCCGGGCACGUCGGGGGGCACCGCGGCGCCGCCCCGAUCCCCAUCUGCGGGGCGCAGGGGCCGCACGUCGCCUCCUCGCCCAGGGACAGGUCGAAGUCGGGGCAGUCCAGCGGCGGCGGCAUCAGGGCGGAGGCUUCCAGGGGGAAAACCCGAGGGUGUUAG
This 1128-nucleotide long non-coding RNA is filed under the name Anas platyrhynchos platyrhynchos (common mallard). RNAcentral describes it as "lncRNA (ENSAPLG00000021245.1)". Lineage: Eukaryota; Metazoa; Chordata; Aves; Anseriformes; Anatidae. The record is from RNAcentral.